AACAAAUCUUAUCUACAUCUCGGUAUGCCUCUUCUCUCACUUGUCUCUCGGUUCUUUCAUAACCUGCUUCUCUCUCAAUUUUCUACCACAACCUCACUCUCAUAGGUCGAACCUCACAGAUCUAACCUCUCACUUACAAAUCGAAGAUUAAUCAUAACCGUCUCAAAAUCAAAGCUCAUAUAUCAGCAGAAAUCAAAAGGAAACCCUUUUUGUAACCCUGUAUCUAGUUUAAUUAACGGGAAGAAGAAGAUAUCGAACUAGAGAUUAAACUCAUUUAUAACUUUGAUUUAGUUUUUAGUUGAGAUUAUUGUUAUUUUAUUAGAUUAUAUUUGCUUGGUAUUGGUUAAUUCGAUCUGAAUAUAUCGAUUCAUCAUUAGCGACAUCAUCUACCAUUAUUGCUGCUAUUUCUGGUGGUGGUGAAGACUCUAAGAAGAAAAUUUCCUCAGGAGUUUUAAAGCAUGGGUUUUCUUCGAAAUUUGAAACAUCAGCUUUGGUGAUUUCUACUCACAAACCCGAAUAUGUUGAUUCCUUGCCAUUAAUCUCUAAACAAGCACUUUAUUUAAACAUACUGGAAGACGCAGAGUUCACCAACAACUUCAUUGAUGCAGAGAAGACCCUAUAUCACCUAAUCAGUAUCAAAAUCUCAAAGGUGGUAGCUAUUUUGUAUACCUUUGUGCAGAGGGAUUUCUCUUGAUGAUAAGAAGAGUAGUUUAUGUGGUUGCUGGGUUGGGGGCAUUGUUCCUGUACUCUGGAUUGUUGGUACUGUUAGUGGCAAUGAUGGUGAGUCCACUUUAGAUAUCUUGCAGGAUUAACCUGGAUAUAUAUACUGAUGCAUAUAUGAGAACAUAAGGUACCAUGUUGCCCAUUUUAAUAUUUUUGUAGGUCAACAAUUCUUGAUAUUAGAACUGUUGGAAUCACAGAUAACAAGUAUGCAUUCGGGAUCUUAGUGUUUAUACUUCUAAUAAAGUGUGCAGACCUAUCUCCCAAUAUUAGCGCCUUCGAAAAAUAACAUUUCUUAAUCUGUAGAGCGCUCAUUAGCUUUGGUGUGAUUCCGAUGAUGACGGGGAUUAGUUGGCAUUUAUUGGUCACAUUUUGCACACUUCAUGUGGCACAAAGAUUCAAUGUUUCUAAGACCAAGGCAAUUGGUACCGAAAUUGUAAUGCUAUUUAGUAUUUUUAAAUGGCGUGUCUACUGGACUUCUCGAUUUCUGUCUUGGGUUCAAUUCCAUUGGAUUCUACCAGAUGACGAAACUUGCAAUUAUACCCUUUACAGUACUGUCAGAGACCCUGUUCCUUAACAAGGUAUGCGAUUCUGAGUUGUGCGGCUCAGUUUGUCAUCAGAUAGUUUAUCGUUUUGUCAGUUUGUACUUAUCUUUAAGAAAACUUAUCACUUGUAUUGGUGCUGAUUCAGGUUUAGUUUACAAUUUUUGGUGAUUCUGAAUCUAAGCUAUGAUCAGUGUGUUGUACGUCUAAUGAAUUCUAACAUUUAUUGAAUGGGAAUAAUUUGAACUUAAGAAUGCAGGUUGUAUUUGAAUGUAAAUUGAACUUUAGUUUCU
Molecule: RNA transcript, 1555 nt
Organism: Papaver somniferum (opium poppy)
Lineage: Eukaryota; Viridiplantae; Streptophyta; Magnoliopsida; Ranunculales; Papaveraceae
Exons: 9
Source: RefSeq, a predicted model, not a curated record